Molecule: long non-coding RNA, 258 nt
Organism: Pelobates fuscus (common spadefoot toad)
Lineage: Eukaryota; Metazoa; Chordata; Amphibia; Anura; Pelobatidae
Exons: 3
Source: RefSeq, a predicted model, not a curated record
CUUUCCUCAGUUCAGGAACUGUAGGAAACAUGGGGCUCUGUAGGGGAAUGUGGAUACCUACAGCAGGCUUGGUAAUAGUUCUGACAUGUCUACAAGUGCAAGCUGCAAAUAAUAUUUUGAAGCCACUGAAAAAUACCAUUGACGUUUCAAAUGAGAAUUCGGCAUCAGGUUCAAAUGAGAAUUCGGCAUCAGGUGCAAAUAAUUUCUUGAAGUCACUCAAAAAUUCUGUUGAGGAUUCAAAUGGCAAGCCUGUAGCAG